GGGCCGUUAGCUCAGUCCGGUAGAGCAGCGGACUUUUAAUCCGUUGGUCACGAGUUCGAAUCUCGUACGGCCCACCA
RNAcentral lists this transfer RNA (77 nucleotides) under Syntrophaceae bacterium PtaB.Bin038. RNAcentral's name for it is "tRNA-Lys". It matches the Rfam family "tRNA". From Rfam's summary of the family: Transfer RNA (tRNA) molecules are approximately 80 nucleotides in length. Their secondary structure includes four short double-helical elements and three loops (D, anti-codon, and T loops). The record is from RNAcentral. RNAcentral also lists the same sequence under 4 other names. Lineage: Bacteria; Pseudomonadati; Thermodesulfobacteriota; Syntrophia; Syntrophales; Syntrophaceae.